Molecule: ribosomal RNA, 253 nt
Filed under: uncultured bacterium
Lineage: Bacteria
Description: partial 16S ribosomal RNA
Rfam family: Bacterial small subunit ribosomal RNA
Source: RNAcentral
UACGUAUGGUGCAAGCGUUAUCCGGAUUUACUGGGCGUAAAGGGAGCGCAGGCGGCGCGCCAAGUCUGAUGUGAAACCCCGGGGCUCAACCCCGGGCAUGCAUUGGAAACUGGCGGGCUGGAGUGCCGGAGAGGUAAGCGGAAUUCCUAGUGUAGCGGUGAAAUGCGUAGAUAUUAGGAGGAACACCAGUGGCGAAGGCGGCUUACUGGACUGCAACUGACGCUGAGGCUCGAAAGCGUGGGGAGCAAACAGG